Erinaceus europaeus (western European hedgehog) is the source of this 72-nucleotide small nucleolar RNA. The record is from Ensembl. NCBI's taxonomy places the organism in Eukaryota, Metazoa, Chordata, Mammalia, Eulipotyphla, Erinaceidae.
UGGAUCUGUGAUGACAUUGCAUGCCGGAUAAGUCACCCAUGAUCAAUAACUGUCUGAAAUUCUGAGAUUCAA